RNAcentral lists this ribosomal RNA (452 nucleotides) under uncultured archaeon. RNAcentral's name for it is "bacterial SSU rRNA". It matches the Rfam family "Archaeal small subunit ribosomal RNA", at positions 50 to 507 of the family's 1478-position model. The record is from RNAcentral.
CAUGCGAGUUCGAGAGGCGAAAGACCUCGGCAUACUGCUCAGUAACACGUGGAUAAUCUGCCCUCAGGUGAGGAAUAAUCCCGGGAAACUGGGGCUAAUACCUCAUAGGAGACGGCUGCUGGAAUGCUCUGUCUCUGAAAGGUCUGCCGCCUGAGGAUGAGUCUGCGUCCGAUUAGGUUGUUGUUGGGGUAACGGCCCACCAAGCCUUUGAUCGGUACGGGUUGUGGGAGCAAGAGCCCGGAGAUGGAUUCUGAGACAUGAAUCCAGGCCCUACGGGGCGCAGCAGGCGCGAAAACUUUACAAUGCGAGCAAUCGUGAUAAGGAAACCCUGAGUGCCUGUUUAUCACAGGCUGUUCUGGUGUCUAACCCACACCAGGAGAAAGGGCGGGGCAAGACCGGUGCCAGCCGCCGCGGUAAUACCGGCUGCUCGAGUGAUAGCCACUUUUUACUGG